Molecule: non-coding RNA, 3481 nt
Organism: Elaeis guineensis (African oil palm)
Lineage: Eukaryota; Viridiplantae; Streptophyta; Magnoliopsida; Arecales; Arecaceae
Source: RefSeq, a predicted model, not a curated record
CCCACUUACCCGUUCCCACACGCCUUUCUGUGCGCCUUCCUUUUCGUGCUUUUCCCACACUGCAUAAAGUGUGAACGCCCCUCCAUAUCCCAAGAGCAAAAUUUCUUUAUUUAUUUUUUUUUCACAGCAUUAUUACAGCAUAUGAUGAUAUGAAGGAGAAUAUGUUGCAAAGCAUGCUAGCCUAGCUUUCCUUUCCACUCUAAAAGCACAUAAAACAGGAAAAUUUCAUACUGUCACACUAAGAGAUGGCCACUCUUCUCCACCUACUCUUCUUCCAAUUGCUUCUCUCCUCAGCAUCAAAAGCUCAGAUGCCUGGUUUUGUAAGUUUGGAUUGUGGAGGUAAAGAGGAGUAUACAGAUGAUAUUGGACUUCUAUGGAUUCCUGAUGAUCAAUUUAUUCAUGGUGGUCAAACUGCCAACAUAUCUAUCCCAGGUGAGAACCCCAAGCAAUACAUGAAAGUCAGAUAUUUCCCUGCGGAUAGCAGAAAGUAUUGCUACACAUUAAGUGUGAAGACUAGAACCCGCUACCUUGUAAGAGCAAGUUUCUUAUAUGGCAACUUUGACAAAAGUAAUUUUUAUCCGAUGUUUGACCUCUCUAUUGGGGCAACUCAUUGGUCAACUAUUGUAAUUUCUGAUGCAAAUGUAAUGGAAGUUCGAGAGUUGAUUUUGCUGGCUUCUUCUCCAACGAUAAGUGUGUGUCUGUCAAAUGCUACCACUGGGCAGCCGUUCAUUUCUACCCUUGAGCUUCGUCAGUUUAAUGGUUCACUUUAUUAUACAACCUAUGAAACUCAAUUCUUUCUCAGCCUAUCUGCAAGAAUAAACUUUGGUGCUGAGAGCAAUGAUUCAGUAAGGUAUCCAGAUGAUCCAUUUGAUAGAAUAUGGGAAUCUGAUUCUGCAAGAAGGGCAAAUUACCUUGUUGAUGUUGCUCCGGGAACUGAAGCAAUAUCUACGGAAAAGCCAAUAGAUGUUAGCACUGGUGAAAGACCACCAGAAAAGGUGAUGCAGACAGCUGUGGUGGGUCAAAAUGGUUCCUUGACAUACCGAUUAGACUUGGAUGGUUUUCCAGCAAAUGGUUGGGCAUUCUCAUACUUCGCAGAAAUUGAAGAUUUUGGUCCAGAUGAAACCAGGAAAUUUAAGCUAGUAAUUCCAGGCUUGCCAGUAUUUAGUAAACCCACUGUUGACGUUCAAGAAAAUGCUCAAGGGAAGUACCGGCUCUAUGAACCAGGAUAUAACAAUGUGUCCCUACCAUUUGUCUUCUCUUUUGGGUUUAGAAAAACAAAUGAUUCAUCCAGGGGACCUAUCUUGAAUGCUUUGGAGAUUUAUAAAUACCUGCAGAUAAAUUUUGGUUCUCAAGAUGCAACUGCCAUGGGCAGUUUUGUUUCGCACUAUCAAGAGGCAGAUUGGGCUCGAGAAGGUGGUGAUCCAUGUGUGCCAGCUUCAUGGUCUUGGGUGCAGUGUAAUUCAGAUCAACAACCAAGAGUAGUUUCAAUCAAUUUAUCUAGGAAGAAUUUGACAGGGAAUUUUCCUUUGGAACUGACAAAGUUACCAGGCUUGGUUGAAUUGCGACUUGAUGGGAACGAACUUACUGGUCCAAUACCUGAUUUUGGUGGAUGCCCAAAUCUGGAGUAUAUUCAUCUUGAGAACAAUGAACUCAGUGGUGCGUUACCUUCAUCCUUGGCAGACCUACCAAGUCUACGAGAACUGUACGUUCAGAAUAAUAUGUUGUCAGGAUUGGUGCCACAAGGGCUUCUCAGUAAAAAAAUCAUUUUCAAUUAUUCAGGAAAUCUGCAUCUUCGCAAGGGAAAGAAAGACACCAGUCGUGUAAUAAUUAUCAUCUGUUCUGUAACUGGAGUUUCUAUGCUGCUGGUCAUUGGUAUAGCAUACUACUUGUUCACUCAGAGAAAAGGGAAAAAUAUCCCAAAAGACAAAGUUACCAGUGUCCCACCAGCUAAAAAGUUGAGUACUUUCUUCAGUGAAGUGGCGACAGAAUCAGCACAUAAGUAUUCAUUAUCUGAAAUUGAAGAUGCGACUGGGAAGUUUGAAAAGAGAAUAGGCUCUGGAGGUUUUGGGAUCGUAUAUUAUGGAAAGAUGGCAGAUGGAAAAGAAAUCGCAGUGAAAGUUCUCACGAACGAUUCCUUCCAGGGAAUCAGAGAGUUCCUAAACGAGGUGACACUGCUUUCUAGAAUUCAUCAUAGGAAUCUUGUCACGUUUCUGGGUUACAGCCAACAAGAUGGGAAAAACAUCCUCGUCUAUGAAUUUAUGCAUAAUGGAACCUUAAAGGAGCACCUUCGUGGACCUUCAGCUCGGGAAAGAACUCUUAACUGGAUCAAGCGCCUUGAGAUUGCGGAGGAUGCUGCAAAAGGGAUUGAGUACCUUCACACGGGCUGCUUUCCCACCAUCAUUCAUAGGGAUCUUAAGAGUAGCAACAUUCUUCUUGACAAGCACAUGAGAGCAAAGGUCUCAGAUUUUGGUCUCUCAAAACCUGCAGUGGAUUGUUCCCAUGUCUCAAGCAUUGUUCGGGGAACUGUUGGAUAUCUGGACCCUGAGUACUACAUCUCUCAGCAAUUAACAGAAAAGAGCGAUAUCUACAGUUUUGGUGUUAUUCUCCUGGAGCUGAUAUCAGGUCAAGAACCAAUAUCCAAUGAAAAUUUUGGCCUCAACUGCCGUAACAUUGUGGCCUGGCUUCUUCAGGCUCUAGCAGACUUUAUAGCAGGUUUUCUUUUUCUUGAAAUAUCUGAACCCUUGAGCAACCAUAUGGCAGGCAAAGUCAUAUAUUGAGAAUGGGAACAUCGAGGCUGUCAUGGACCCCAUGCUGCCGGAUGAUUAUAACAUGCAAUCAUUGUGGAAGAUUGCUGAGACUGCUGUUAUGUGUGUCAAACCACAAGGGAUUCAAAGACCAACUAUAUCAGAAGUGCUCAAGGAAAUACAAGAAGCUAUUGCAAUCGAGCGAGUCUCAGGGCUUCAUGGAGAAUGCCCUGCUAAGGUAAUAUCAAAGAAGACCAUGGGCUCUUCUGUGAAUUCGGACAUGAUUUGCUCAGCUACUCCUGAACAAAAUGUGUCUGUUCCUGAGCUGUUUGUGCAGCCAGGACUCCGAUAGCUACUAAUGCAGUGUGCAUAUUGCUGAUCAACAGAAGUAAAGUUUCUGCUGUGAAAGAACGUCUACAUGAUUCUCAUUCAAGUUCUUGUCAGGCCAACCUUAGUUCUCCUGAGCAUUUGAGUGAUGACUGAACCUUGAAACUGGCUUCCCUUGUUGUCCCAUGUAAUUAGUUGUGGUGUUGUGGUUCAAGAAUUUGUCCUAACUGCAUCUUGAGAGAGGUACCCCUUUUUGUCAAGUAGCUUCUAUCCUUUUUCGCACGUAAAUUCCCUGUAUUUUGUACCCACCGUGAUUACAGAAGCCACUCGGCUGAUGAGUGUGGUGCUUCUUUUUAUCGUAUCAGCUCUGUACAAAAUAGUGAUUUGAAACAUGGUUAACAAUUUCUGCA